UGACCACAUCAUAUUGAAACACCCAUUUGCAUACAAUCACCAAAGUUAAGCAACUUCAAGCCUGGUUAGUAUUUAGAUGGGUGACUGCUUGGGAAUACCAGGUGCUGUAAG
Non-coding RNA from Acanthosepion pharaonis, 111 nucleotides. NCBI's taxonomy places the organism in Eukaryota, Metazoa, Mollusca, Cephalopoda, Sepiida, Sepiidae. The record is from the annotation of a GenBank genome assembly.